CCCUUAGAUGUUCUGGGCCGCACGCGCGCUACACUGAUGCAUUCAACGAGUCUAAAACCUGGUCUGAUAGGGGUGGGUAAUCUUUUGAAUGUGCAUCGUGAUUGGGAUAGAUGAUUGCAAUUUUUCAUCUUCAACGAGGAAUGCCUAGUAAACGCAAGUCAUCAGCUUGCAUUGAUUACGUCCCUGCCCUUUGUACACACCGCCCGUCGCUCCUACCGAUUGAAUGAUCCGAUGAAUAUCAUGGAUUGAGGAUGCAAGCAGGUUCGCCUGUCUUCAUCUUCGAGAAGUGAAGUAAAUCUUAUCAUUUAGAGGAAGGAGAAGUCGUAACA
This 329-nucleotide ribosomal RNA is filed under the name uncultured eukaryote. Its description in RNAcentral is "partial 18S ribosomal RNA". It matches the Rfam family "Eukaryotic small subunit ribosomal RNA", at positions 1470 to 1796 of the family's 1831-position model. The record is from RNAcentral.